This 73-nucleotide transfer RNA is filed under the name Patescibacteria group bacterium. Its description in RNAcentral is "tRNA-Val". It matches the Rfam family "tRNA". From Rfam's summary of the family: Transfer RNA (tRNA) molecules are approximately 80 nucleotides in length. Their secondary structure includes four short double-helical elements and three loops (D, anti-codon, and T loops). Further hydrogen bonds mediate the characteristic L-shaped molecular structure. tRNAs have two regions of fundamental functional importance: the anti-codon, which is responsible for specific mRNA codon recognition, and the 3' end, to which the tRNAs corresponding amino acid is attached (by aminoacyl-tRNA synthetases). tRNAs cope with the degeneracy of the genetic code in two manners: having more than one tRNA (with a specific anti-codon) for a particular amino acid; and 'wobble' base-pairing, i.e. permitting non-standard base-pairing at the 3rd anti-codon position. The record is from RNAcentral.
GCGCGAUUAGCUCAGUUGGUAGAGCAGUGCUUUUACACAGCAAAGGUCGGGGGUUCGAGUCCCUCAUCGCGCA